UAACAGGUGACGGGGAAUCAGGGUUCGAUUCCGGAGAGGGAGCCUGAGAAACGGCUACCACAUCCAAGGAAGGCAGCAGGCACGCAAAUUACCCACUCUCAGAACGAGGAGGUAGUGACGAAAAAUAACAAUACGGGACUAUUAAUAGGCCCCGUAAUUGGAAUGAGUACAAUAUAAAUCCUUUAACGAGGAUCUAUUGGAGGGCAAGUCUGGUGCCAGCAGCCGCGGUAAUUCCAGCUCCAAUAGCGUAUAUUAAAGUUGCCGCGUUUAAAAAGCUCGUAGUUGUAUCUCAGUUCAUGUCAAUUGGUCAAUCACUUAAUAGUGAUUACUUUUUGACUGAACAUUGAACCGAUUUGUUUUCUGAUGCUCUUUACCGGGUGUU
Molecule: ribosomal RNA, 382 nt
Filed under: Demodex folliculorum
Lineage: Eukaryota; Metazoa; Arthropoda; Arachnida; Trombidiformes; Demodicidae
Description: SSU rRNA
Rfam family: Eukaryotic small subunit ribosomal RNA
Source: RNAcentral